This is a long non-coding RNA of Bicyclus anynana (squinting bush brown), 2473 nucleotides long. RefSeq lists it as uncharacterized. NCBI's taxonomy places the organism in Eukaryota, Metazoa, Arthropoda, Insecta, Lepidoptera, Nymphalidae. The record is from RefSeq and is a predicted model, not a curated record. The transcript has 3 exons.
CUCAGUUGUGUCACAGUGUGGUCCGAGAACGGUCGAAAUGGAGGCGUUCUAUCUAUUUUGUGCAAUGUGCUUGAUUUUCUCGAUCGAAACACGAUCGAUACCGAACGAGAUCCGAUCGAUCGAAAGUGAUGUCACCAGUGAAAGUAGCUCGAGAACAAUGGUCCAAAAACCUUUAAGUUAUAUUGUAAAUGACUUGAAGGCAUAUCGAAGGAGUAAACGGCAGGUGUUCAAGGCAGAUCAUUGUCGUGCGGGGUCGUGUCCUAGAUGGUUGGGGGGGUCGAUUGUUUGUGGUCCGUGCACAGGGUAAUCAAGAAGCUGGUUCAUUAAAAGGUCCCAUUUGGUGUAAAAGACGGCGAUGCUGAAAUAAAUGGACAUCUUCAUUGAAUAGUAUUAUAAAAUUAACAAGUACUUAAUUGCCAAAAGAUGAUGAAAACACCAAAUAACCAUAUUAUCUGAAAGAACUGUCUUUUAUUAAUUUAAGUGAAGGCGUUUUUUGUUACCAUGGAUUUUUAACACGAAUAUUCGUGGUUGUUGCAAUAUUAGUGCCGGAGUAGGUAGGAAUAACUGUAGAUAUUCUUACUUUUUCUCUAGUAAUCUGUAAUCUGAGUUUAUCAGAUUGUGAAAACAAUUGUUUUCCUAGUUAAAUUACUUUAUAUACUUAUAGUUUAUAUUUUUUCUAAUAGCUAAUUGUUUAUAGGAUAAAUUAACAUUUGCUCAAUAUUAUAUUGUUACUUUUGAUUAUUUUGAAUUACGUUGUUUAUUAGAGUUCCAAAAUAUGUAAAGAAAAACAAAAAAGCGAAAUAAAAAUCAAAGAGUGAAGAGCAAUUUUCUAACAAGUGCGUUUUACGUUAUUCUAGCCGUAGCCCUCAUUCGCACGAGAGUUUAAUUAACGGACGUUACGUUCGCUUAAAACACGACGCCUUAUUUUCGAGCAGUGUUGCAUUUUCAAUUUUGGGUGUUGGAAAUCGACCUUCAUUCAUCUUCGUACUAUACGCUACGCCCGCCAACGCUGGGUAUUAACGCAUCGCUAUUUUAACUCUAGUGCGAAUGAGGUUUUAGGCAUCGUAAGAUCGUGGUAAAAUAAGGAAAUCAAUCAUAAGGACACACAGUCAAUAACAAUAUACAAUAUUUAUUGUUAUUGAUUGUGUUAUAUUACAAUAUCUUAUUGACUGCGGUAGGAGCAAUCUUACUUUUUGUCAAUAUUAAUGUAAGGGCGUAAGCCUGUAAAUCAGCAAUGCUGAUUGCAUUUCUAAGAGUAAUAAUUCUAUGCCUAAUGUUUAUUAUGAUAUUCAUGUUGUAUGGAUUAUAAUUUAUGUGAAUAAUAUUAUUAUAGUAGAACAAUAACAUCUUUAUAGUAAAACACGACAAGAAAAAUUUGUAAGUUCUACUAGAUUUUCCUAUGUUUUAUUAACCGACUUCCAAAAAGGAGGAGGUUUUACGUUCGGCUGUAUGUAUGUUUUUUUUCUUUCCGUUUCUGAAAGCACCACAGAAAUUUUGUAAUUUAAGCGGCUUGAAUUAAAACAUCCCUGGCUUGGCACCGCCUUCAAACUGAUCAGAAGGUAGCACAUAGGUAAGAUGUUAUUUUUUGCUUUUUUGUUUUAGUUCAUUUUUGAGUUGGAAGUCGGUUGAAAUUUUUUAUUAAAAUUUUUAUAGUCAAAAAUUUUCGAGAUAAUGUGGGUAGGUAAUUACUUAUACAUUAUACCUGAAAACUAUUAUUUAACCAACCAAACAGAUGGCUUACAAGAAGGAAAGAGGAAAACACUAAUUUUGUUGGACAGUCCUGUAAAAAAUAUUAAAAUAAUUAUUUUGUAAAAUAAUGGAACUCUAAUUUGUUGACAACUUGGAGUUUUGUUUUUUUAAAUCUCUCUCUCUCUCUUUUUAAUUAAUUAUUUACUACAUAAAUAAAUUUAGCCUAAUAUUUUUUCACAAGGAAACGCUUAUAAUAUUAUUGUUAAUUAUAUUAUCUAGUUUAAUUGUUUAUUUUAUAUUUGUUCGAAACUAGGACUUGGUUGUAAAACGAUUUUGAAAUUAAUUUGUAAAACUCAAGACAUUGAUAUUCCUAAUGAAAUAUUUGUUUUAUAAUUUAAAAACGUUUUACAACCAUUUUUAAUUUAAGUAAAAAAUCUGAAGUGAUUUUUUACUUAAGUCAAGACAACUUUUGUUGGUCAAAAGUUCUUUUUGACACAAGCAAUCUAAUUUGAUUGGAUUAAGUUCUAAUUGUAAGAAAAUAAAUAAAACUUAAAUUAAAUUUAUGGGUGCGAUAUUAUUUACAUUCAAAUUAAUUCGAAUGAAUAACCUUGGCGAAAUAUACGAUUGAAUAUUCUUUCGAAAUACAUAUUAUCAUAAAUUAUUGUAUAUAAAAACCUUGCCAUUUUUAUAGACUGCUAUUACUGAUAAUAAUAAUUUAUUAAUCUAUGUUUCUAUAUCUAUUAUUUGAAUGUUGUUAAAUUAUUAUUAUAUUUACUGGAAAUGA